AUGGCAAAUCGAGCCAACUCUACCCCUGAGCUGUUCACCGGCCAAGUAAUUAUGGAUCCGCGCCCCAACUCAUCUGGUACAUCGUCCAUCAAUACCGCUCCAUCGUCUCUAAGGCCCCUAACUAUUAAGAUGCUGCUUGAUUCUUUCUUCGAGGACACUGAACGCUAUCCAUUAAUCAUCGACGGCAUGCCAGUGUCAUCGGUGGAUCUGAUAGGCAUGGUCAGAAACAAAUCACUCAGCAUGGAUCACUGCACGUUCGACCUAUAUGAUGGCACUGGGUCCGUUAAUGUAUACUUCUGGUUUGAUGGCCGUCAAGACUCCAAGGAUGCUUGGUCGUUCAACGAAGGCAUGUAUGUACGUGUUGUUGGGAGGGCUACCAGUUUGGAGCAAUUUUUCCAAAUCAAAGCCUACAUGGUCAGGACCGUAAAGAACUUCAAUGAUAUAACCCAUCACUUUAUCUACUGCAUCAAGGCCCAUAUCGAUAUUUCUAAGCAGAGCAGACUAAAGCUUCAGGAAAAUUCCGUUGCCACCCCGUCAGCAUCAACCGUCAUGCCAAGGUAUCAGAUUGCUCCGAGCCAGAUACCAGAAGAUUGCAGCUUUGAGGAUAAGAUAUUUUCCAUUUUGCGCGACCCAGCAUACCGUGACAUGGAUCAUGGGGUAAGUCUAAAGCUGCUUCGCAGCGCACUUGGCGCAAGUCAAGACGAUAUCAUGAAAGUAAUAAUAGAGCAAAUCCGACUCGGUGAGAUGUACACUACUAUCGGUGAACGCCAUUUCAAGUCUUCAAACUGA
This 789-nucleotide ribosomal RNA is filed under the name Triticum aestivum (bread wheat). RNAcentral describes it as "partial small subunit ribosomal RNA". The record is from RNAcentral. Lineage: Eukaryota; Viridiplantae; Streptophyta; Magnoliopsida; Poales; Poaceae.